This 253-nucleotide ribosomal RNA is filed under the name uncultured bacterium. Its description in RNAcentral is "partial 16S ribosomal RNA". It matches the Rfam family "Bacterial small subunit ribosomal RNA", at positions 524 to 776 of the family's 1533-position model. The record is from RNAcentral.
UACGUAGGGGGCAAGCGUUGUCCGGAAUCAUUGGGCGUAAAGCGCGUGUAGGCGGCCCGAUAAGUCCGCUGUGAAAGUCCAGGGCUCAACCCUGGGAUGCCGGUGGAUACUGUCGGGCUCGAGUCCGGAAGAGGCGAGUGGAAUUCCUGGUGUAGCGGUGAAAUGCGCAGAUAUCAGGAGGAACACCGGUGGCGAAGGCGGCGACCUGGGUCGGUACUGACGCUGAGACGCGAAAGCGUGGGGAGCGAACAGG